RNAcentral lists this ribosomal RNA (201 nucleotides) under Triticum aestivum (bread wheat). Its description in RNAcentral is "partial small subunit ribosomal RNA". Lineage: Eukaryota; Viridiplantae; Streptophyta; Magnoliopsida; Poales; Poaceae. The record is from RNAcentral.
UCCGCACCUCCCUCUAUGCGGAAAGGGCUAAGCGCCAUCAUUUCCCUGACGGCGUGGUAGAUCUGAAAGCACCGGAAUGGAGUGAUCUUCGACAACACUCGCCAAUCCACACAGCACCUUCUCGACCUCAUUCGAGACGAGGCAUGGUUGUGGGCAAGGGCAGGAGCAACCGGAGUAGUCAACAUCAUUGACACUGGUUGA